UACGGAGGGUGCGAGCGUUGUUCGGAUUCACUGGGUAUAAAGAGUUCGUAGGCGGCCCCGUAAGUCAGAGGUGAAAGCUGUCGGCUCAACCGACAAAUUGCCUUUGAAACUGCAGGGCUUGAGUCCGGGAGAGGAAGGUGGAAUUCCUGGUGUAGCGGUGAAAUGCGUAAAUAUCAGGAGGAACACCGGUGGCGAAGGCGGCCUUCUGGCCCGGCACUGACGCUGAGGAACGAAAGCCAGGGGAGCGAACGGG
This 253-nucleotide ribosomal RNA is filed under the name uncultured bacterium. RNAcentral describes it as "partial 16S ribosomal RNA". It matches the Rfam family "Bacterial small subunit ribosomal RNA", at positions 524 to 776 of the family's 1533-position model. The record is from RNAcentral. RNAcentral also lists the same sequence under 1 other name.